UACGUAGGGACCAAGCGUUGUUCGGAUUUACUGGGCGUAAAGGGCGCGUAGGCGGCAAUUCAAGUCAUCUGUGAAAUCUCCGGGCUUAACCCGGAACGGUCAGGUGAUACUGUUUUGCUAGAGUGCGGAAGGGGCAAUCGGAAUUCUCGGUGUAGCGGUGAAAUGCGUAGAUAUCGAGAGGAACACCAGAGGUGAAGGCGGCACUCUGGGCCGGUACUGACGCUGAGGAGCGAAAGCGUGGGGAGCAAACAGG
Molecule: ribosomal RNA, 253 nt
Filed under: uncultured bacterium
Lineage: Bacteria
Description: partial 16S ribosomal RNA
Rfam family: Bacterial small subunit ribosomal RNA
Source: RNAcentral